GGUUUCGUCUCGGGUAGCCUCACGGUUUUCACCCGGUCCGGAAUCCUCCUCGUGGCAAACCAGGGUUCUCUUAACUGGGCGCUCUGGGGAACCACGACGUUUACUUUGAGAAAAUUAGAGUGUUCAAAGCAGGCGUAACCUUGCCAUUGAAUAUUACAGCAUGGGAUAAUAGAAUAUGACGUUGGUCUUAUUUUGUUGGUUUCUAAGGCUGAUGUA
RNAcentral lists this ribosomal RNA (216 nucleotides) under uncultured fungus. Its description in RNAcentral is "partial small subunit ribosomal RNA". The stretch from base 83 to 216 matches the Rfam family "Eukaryotic small subunit ribosomal RNA", at positions 734 to 864 of the family's 1831-position model. The record is from RNAcentral. Lineage: Eukaryota; Fungi.